Molecule: ribosomal RNA, 253 nt
Filed under: uncultured bacterium
Lineage: Bacteria
Description: partial 16S ribosomal RNA
Rfam family: Bacterial small subunit ribosomal RNA
Source: RNAcentral
UACGUAGGGGGCUAGCGUUGUCCGGAUUUAUUGGGCGUAAAGAGCGUGUAGGCGGCCAGGUAGGUCCGGUGUGAAAACUCGAGGCUUAACCUCGAGAUGUCAUCGGAAACCAUCUGGCUAGAGUCCGGAAGAGGAAAGUGGAAUUCCCGGUGUAGUGGUGAAAUGCGUAGAGAUCGGGAGGAACACCAGUGGCGAAGGCGGCUCGCUGGGCCGGACCUGACGCUGAGACGCGAAAGCGUGGGGAGCAAACAGG